GAUUAAGUUAUUAAGGGCGCACGGUGGAUGCCUUGGCACUAGAAGCCGACGAAGGACGUUACUAACGACGAUAUGCUUUGGGGAGCUGUAAGUAAGCUUUGAUCCAGAGAUUUCCGAAUGGGGAAACCCAGCACGAGUUAUGUCGUGUUAUCUGCAUGUGAAUACAUAGCAUGCAAGAAGGCAGACCCGGAGAACUGAAACAUCUUAGUACCCGGAGGAAGAGAAAGAAAAAUCGAUUCCCUGAGUAGCGGCGAGCGAAACGGGAAGAGCCCAAACCAAUAAGCUUGCUUAUUGGGGUUGUAGGACACUCUGUACGGAGUUACAAAAGAAUUUGUUAGACGAAUAACCUGGAAAGGUUAAUCA
This 363-nucleotide ribosomal RNA is filed under the name Staphylococcus pseudintermedius. RNAcentral describes it as "partial 23S ribosomal RNA". It matches the Rfam family "Bacterial large subunit ribosomal RNA", at positions 1 to 357 of the family's 2925-position model. The record is from RNAcentral. Lineage: Bacteria; Bacillati; Bacillota; Bacilli; Caryophanales; Staphylococcaceae.